CGGGCUAUAGCGCAGCUGGCUAGCGUACUUGCAUGGGGUGCAAGGGGUCCCCGGUUCGAGUCCGGGUAGCCCGACCA
RNAcentral lists this transfer RNA (77 nucleotides) under Candidatus Margulisiibacteriota bacterium. RNAcentral describes it as "tRNA-Pro". It matches the Rfam family "tRNA". From Rfam's summary of the family: Transfer RNA (tRNA) molecules are approximately 80 nucleotides in length. Lineage: Bacteria; Bacillati; Candidatus Margulisiibacteriota. The record is from RNAcentral.